RNAcentral lists this small nuclear RNA (170 nucleotides) under Panthera leo (lion). Its description in RNAcentral is "U4 spliceosomal RNA (ENSPLOG00000002435.1)". The stretch from base 1 to 77 matches the Rfam family "U4 spliceosomal RNA". The record is from RNAcentral. Lineage: Eukaryota; Metazoa; Chordata; Mammalia; Carnivora; Felidae.
AUCUUUGUGCAGUGGCAGUAUCGUAGCCAAUGAGGUUUAUCCGAGGUGCAAUUAUUGCUUAAUGGAAAAGAAAAAAAGGUUAGCGAUAAAAAAAAAAAAAAAAUGAUUUCUAGGGUUUGGAGUCCAAAGUUCCAAUCCCAGCUCUGCAACCUUCUGUUACCUUGACCAAG